RNAcentral lists this ribosomal RNA (1159 nucleotides) under Herdmania momus (red throated ascidian). Its description in RNAcentral is "large ribosomal RNA". The stretch from base 489 to 1159 matches the Rfam family "Archaeal large subunit ribosomal RNA", at positions 1423 to 2837 of the family's 2987-position model. Lineage: Eukaryota; Metazoa; Chordata; Ascidiacea; Stolidobranchia; Pyuridae. The record is from RNAcentral.
GGUACCAUUUUGUUUUUUUUUGUCUUUUUAAAAUAAUUCUUUUAUUGUGGUAAUUGUAUCUGGGGAGUGAGAAUUCUUAGUGAUAGUGGGCGUGAGCUCUUUCGUUAAUUUGAGGGUUUAUUUUUUGAAGAAUUUGCCUUUAGUAUAAUGAUUUUGUGAGGUAGUUUCAUUUGUGUAUAGCUCGAAAAACCUUGAUUUAGUUUUAUACAUAUGUGUAUUUUUUGUGUUGAAAUACAAAAGUAAGUUAAAAUUAGGGGUGAAAAAUUAAUCGUGAGGUUAGAUAGCUAGCUCUUGUUGUGUUGUUGUAUCAGUGCUCAUUUAGGUGGGUGUGAGCUAUUGGGGACAGCUUGGUAGGUAAUAAAGGUGCAUGUGUUAGUCUUCUUAUAAUAUGUUGUUAUAUCAUUAGUCUUAUAGGAUGGUUAGGUGCUAGGAUAAACAAGUGUUAAUAAUGCAAAAAUGAGUAUUUAGAAAUGUUGUAAAAUAUAAAUUUAAUCUUAUAAGCUGGGGAGAGUAAUUCAGCAAAAUAAUUGGCCUUAGCGUUUAAUAAAGGCGUAGCUUGUUGAUUUUUAUAGCAAGUCAGAUCUGCUCGGUGUGGAGUCUAGACUCAAAAACAUAAACGGCGGCUUGUGUUUUAAUGUAGCGUAAUAAUUUGUCUAUUAAUUGUAGACUAGUGAAGGAUUAGUAGGGCUAAGACUAUCUUUCUCCAUGUUGAUGAAAUUUUUUAGGGGUGAAAAUACCCCUAGGUCUUUAGGGGAAAAAAAGACCCUAGGUGGUUAAUUUAUUAAGUGUCUAUUAGCCGCUUUUAUAUUGAGCUGGGGUGGCUGCAAAUUAAGUGUAACAUUUGAGUUAAAGAGCUAAUUUUUAGUUUUUCAAUUGAGAACCAACCCUAGGGGUAACAGCGCUAAUAACUAUAUAAGUUCAUAUUUACUAGUUAGUUUACGACCUCGAUGUCGACUUAGAUUUACAAGUAGGCGCAGAAGCUUGUUUUGUUUGUUUGUUCACCAAUUAAAAAUCUACGUGAGUUGGGUUUAGAACGGGGUGACUUAGUUUUGAUUUUUUCUUAAUACGGUUCUCUAUGCAUUAAGUACGAAAGGAAUGGUGUGUUCUUAUGAAAUGUUAGGUAGCGAUACAUUUCACAUAUUUUGUGGGUGGGUUACAG